AAGCGGAAUGCAGUGAGGCACGAAGGAACGAUUUCACCUAUUGGCGUUGUGCGGGCAAGACGUGUGUACGCCAAGAAAAGUGUCUGCCCACUGCCUCGUUACGAUGGGAGUUUGAUCGACUUUGUUUUGUGUGUUGGUCUGGUGUCAUCCUUCUCGUGGCGAUGAUGUUGUUUUAGGUCGGGAAGUAAGUGUAGAAACAAAUGAGAACAAGUGUAUUACGUUUAGACGUGUGCACCACAAGUCUGUGUGUUGUGGUGACAAGUCUUAAGUGUGUUGUGGUGCACAUACUAAGUACAGCACCAGACGCUAGUUAUUUCCCAGUGUACAGUACAACAAGGGAGAAGGUCGGGUCAUGCCGGUCACUCCUAAAACAUCAGGCAAACCGGUCUCAGGCGUCAGUCAGGAGAUGAAGCACGUUCGCCACGUUCCGCCAGAAGUAUGGCACCGGCGUCCCUACAUCUGCGCACUACCAACUUGA
Molecule: long non-coding RNA, 478 nt
Organism: Portunus trituberculatus (swimming crab)
Lineage: Eukaryota; Metazoa; Arthropoda; Malacostraca; Decapoda; Portunidae
Exons: 3
Source: RefSeq, a predicted model, not a curated record